Molecule: long non-coding RNA, 365 nt
Filed under: Gossypium raimondii (Peruvian cotton)
Lineage: Eukaryota; Viridiplantae; Streptophyta; Magnoliopsida; Malvales; Malvaceae
Description: long non-coding RNA (GRAI_LNC001549)
Source: RNAcentral
GGCGGAGAAAGAAAAGUUGAAUUCGGCUCACAUUAAGAAAAAUAGGAAAUAGGGAGAAAAGAAUAAAGAAAACCGUAACGGGAAAAACACCAAAAAACUGGCAUAAAAGAAAAUAAAAUUGGCAUAAAAGAAAGCAACUGCCGAAAAUGCACCAAAUGUACUCCCUAGCCGAAAUUGCCUAAACAAAAUUCCCCCCAAUCGGCUCCCACUUCUCCCAUUUCAAAAUCCUUCAAAAACUCUACCAAUCCCUCUACCAAAUUUUCUUAUUGAUUUACUCCAACUCCCCAUUCAAAUUCAAUUCAAAUUCUUAUGACCAAUUCAACCACAGAGUUCCAGUCCAAUUCCAACACCUCCCCAGCUCAAGC